GGAAGCAAAAGUCGUAACAAGGUUUCCGUAGGUGAACCUGCGGAAGGAUCAUUAUCGAAAUACUUAUUUAGCGUUCCGUGCUAUCCCAUUGUUUUAUUUACCCUGUUGCUUCCACUGGAUGAGUUUCCAUACCUUGUGUUUGAGAAACUUUGGCUUGUGUAAGAUUCAUUCACGGCCAGCCAGUGAGAAGACCAUUUACAAAACCCUGUUAAGAACCAAUUGUCUGAAUAUUUUACUCCAAUGAAAUAAAACUUUCAACAACGGAUCUCUAGGCUCUU
RNAcentral lists this unclassified non-coding RNA (278 nucleotides) under plant metagenome. RNAcentral's name for it is "partial contains small subunit ribosomal RNA and internal transcribed spacer 1". The stretch from base 1 to 54 matches the Rfam family "Eukaryotic small subunit ribosomal RNA", at positions 1778 to 1831 of the family's 1831-position model. The record is from RNAcentral.